Molecule: long non-coding RNA, 760 nt
Organism: Phacochoerus africanus (Common warthog)
Lineage: Eukaryota; Metazoa; Chordata; Mammalia; Artiodactyla; Suidae
Exons: 6
Source: RefSeq, a predicted model, not a curated record
CACACACACACACACUCAGUAGACAAACUCAUCAGGUGAUAGAACUUUUCCUUCGAUGUGUCCUUGAGUGUUCCCACUCCAUUUGAUGUGAUUGUUCUCCAGUCUGCAGUGCUGCUGUCCUCCUAGGAGCUUCUGUCACCAUUGUCACCUCCCAAAAUUCCUGAAUGAAUACCCAGAUGGAUUUAAAGUAGAGUCUGAGGAUCAAAUGAGACAAGGAAUUAUAACAAGAGCUACUGACCCCUUGUGUAUCCUUUGCACCCAGCUGUUUGAUUCUGCACAUGCUCUGGCAGUGCCAUCACAGUGCUGUGGUUUCUCCCUCAGAAUCAUUCCCCAGUGAUUCUCAUAGAGGUGAUCGAGGGACAAGUAGGUGCUGAGGAAGGAGAGGCAACAAAAUGUCAUAAACAAGGAAGUUCCAGAGGCUGGAUUCUGGUACUCACCAUUUCUUCUAAGAACAAGAAGAGCACACUGGACCCAAAGUAAGCAGAUGAAAAUCUCAGAACCUGGGAUGAUGCUGAAAUGGCCUUCUAGACAACAAGGAAUGAGAAGGACCACAUGAUAAAGGAACCAAUCAAACAAGAUGAACCACUGCUCAAGAAAGGAAAUCACAGUUAAGUGAGGUUUCAGGAAGAAAAGGACAGUUCAAGGAGUCAUGAAAGCUUCAUUCUGGUGUUGGUUCUGCCAAUAACUAAUUAUGUGACUCACAGUGCUCUUUUCUGGGACUCUGUUCCUUUCUCUGAAAAAUAAAAGAAGUUUGACCAGA